AAUAAGUACGGUUUUAUACUAUUUAUGUCCAACGUUUGAUCGUUCGUCUUAUUUGAUUUUCUUUUAUGAUUGGUACUUUUAUUGUUAUUACAUGAUAAAACAUUAAUAGUACUUUAUGUGCGACUAAUUUUUUUAAAUUUCUUUAUAAUUUUUUUAAAUAAGACGGACGGUCAAAUGUUGGAUACGUAUUCCCACGAGUGCAAUUUUG
Non-coding RNA from Oryza meridionalis, 208 nucleotides. The record is from Rfam. NCBI's taxonomy places the organism in Eukaryota, Viridiplantae, Streptophyta, Magnoliopsida, Poales, Poaceae.